RNAcentral lists this ribosomal RNA (372 nucleotides) under uncultured bacterium. RNAcentral describes it as "bacterial SSU rRNA". It matches the Rfam family "Bacterial small subunit ribosomal RNA", at positions 28 to 402 of the family's 1533-position model. The record is from RNAcentral.
GACGAACGCUGGCGGCGUGCUUAACACAUGCAAGUCGAGCGGUAAGGCCCUUUCGGGGGUACACGAGCGGCGAACGGGUGAGUAACACGUGGGUGACCUGCCCUUAGCUCUGGGAUAAGCCUGGGAAACUGGGUCUAAUACCGGAUGUGACUCCAUGACGCAUGUUGUGGGGUGGAAAGCCUUGUGCGGCUAGGGAUGGGCCCGCGGCCUAUCAGCUUGUUGGUGGGGUGAUAGCCACCAAGGCGACGACGGGUAGCCGGCCUGAGAGGGCGACCGGCCACACUGGGACUGAGACACGGCCCAGACUCCUACGGGAGGCAGCAGUGGGGAAUCUUGCGCAAUGGGCGAAAGCCUGACGCAGCGACGCCGCGU